AACGCUGGCGGCGCGUCUUAAACAUGCAAGUCGAACGAUCUGUAGCAAUACAGGGAGUGGCGGACGGGUGAGGAACACGUAGGAAUCUACCUAGAAGAGCGGGACAACUUUGGGAAACCGGGGCUAAUACCGCAUAGUACAGAGAUGUUAAAGGGCUAGCAAUAGUCGCUUCUAGAUGAGCCUGCGGUCUAUCAGCUUGUUGGUGAGGUAAUGGCUCACCAAGGCAGCGACGGAUAGCCGGUCUGAGAGGAUGAUCGGCCACACUGGCACUGAGACACGGGCCAGACUCCUACGGGAGGCAGCAGUUAAGAAUCUUGCGCAAUGGGGGAAACCCUGACGCAGCGACGCCGCGUGAAGGAUGAAGGCUUUCGGGUUGUAAACUUCGGUAGACUGGGAAGAAGAACUACGUUCGUUGAGGGCGUAGAGUGACGGUACCAGUCUGAAGCCCCGGCUAAUUACGUG
Molecule: ribosomal RNA, 462 nt
Filed under: uncultured bacterium
Lineage: Bacteria
Description: bacterial SSU rRNA
Rfam family: Bacterial small subunit ribosomal RNA
Source: RNAcentral